This 1188-nucleotide ribosomal RNA is filed under the name Triticum aestivum (bread wheat). RNAcentral's name for it is "partial small subunit ribosomal RNA". The record is from RNAcentral. Lineage: Eukaryota; Viridiplantae; Streptophyta; Magnoliopsida; Poales; Poaceae.
AUGGUCGCCCGGUCGAGGGCACGGGCCGCCAAGCUCUGCCCAUCCGGUCCUGGCGGCGCGGUGACAGUGCCCGCGGUCAGCAGCUCCGGCGUCAUAGGCUCCAACGAGUACCUUAUCCACCUCGGCAUCGGCACUCCGCGGCCGCAGCACGUGGCGCUGGAGGUGGACACCGGCAGCAACGUCAUCUGGACACAGUGCACGCCCUGCUUCAAGUGCUUCGACCAGCGUUUCCCCAAGUUCAACACCUCCGCCUCCGACACCGUCCACGGCGUCGCCUGCUCCGACCCACUCUGCCAAGGCCUUCAGCGGAGCGGCCGUGCGUGCUUCCUCGGCGGCUGUGCCUACCGACUCGCCUACGGCGACAAGUCCGUGUCAAUGGGCCAGCUCGCCAAAGACUCCUUCACCUUCCAGCAGGGCAAGGUGGUGCCGGACCUCGCCUUCGGAUGUGGCCAGUACACCACCGGCAACUUCUUGUCCAACGAGUCCGGCAUCGCCGGCUUCGCCCGCGGGCCAUUGUCGCUGCCUGGGCAGCUCCGUGUUGGCAGCUUCUCCUACUGCUUCACCAGCAUAUUCGAGUCGAGGAGCAGCCCCGUGUUCCUGGGCGCCCCGGACGACGACCUCACAGCGCACGCCACGGGGCCUGUCCUCUCCACUCCCUUCGUACGGGUUCCCGACUCCGAUGUCUACUACUACCUCUCUCUCAAAGGCAUCACCGUCAGCAAGGUGCGGCUGCCGGUCCCGGAGUCGGCGUUCACGCUCAAGACGGACGGCUCCGGCGGGACGAUCAUCGACUCCGGCACGGCUAUCACCACCUUCCCACGGGCCGUCUUCCGGAUCCUCCGUGAGGCGUUCGUGUCACAGGUGGCGCUGCCCCAUAUCCCCUACGACGAAGACGGCGGCCCUGGCGAGCUGCAGUGCUUCCAGACGGACUCGGUGCCGGACGCGAGCAAGGUGGCGGUGCCCAAGCUGAUCUUGCACCUGGAGGGUGGCGCGGACUGGGAACUGCCGCGGGAGAACUACAUGGCCAAGCACCCCAACUUGGACGACCAGCUGUGCGUGGUCAUAGAUUCGGCCGGCGACGACCUCCCGACCAUCAUCGGCAACUUCCAGCAACAGAACAUGCACGUCGUCUACGAUUUGGCGGGCAACAAGCUGCUCAUCGUGCCCGCGCAGUGUCACAACAUGUGA